GACGUACCGUGCGAACGUUGUUCGGUAUCACUGGGCUUAAAGGGCGCGUAGGCGGUCAGCACAAGUCAGUUGUGAAAUCUCCGGGCUUAACUCGGAAAGGUCAACUGAUACUGUGCGACUAGAGUGCGGAAGGGGCAACUGGAAUUCUCGGUGUAGCGGUGAAAUGCGUAGAUAUCGAGAGGAACACCUGCGGCGAAGGCGGGUUGCUGGGCCGACACUGACGCUGAUGCGCGAAAGCCAGGGGAGCGAACGGG
Molecule: ribosomal RNA, 254 nt
Filed under: uncultured bacterium
Lineage: Bacteria
Description: partial 16S ribosomal RNA
Rfam family: Bacterial small subunit ribosomal RNA
Source: RNAcentral